RNAcentral lists this long non-coding RNA (1050 nucleotides) under Sus scrofa (pig). RNAcentral describes it as "lncRNA (ENSSSCG00025055421.1)". The record is from RNAcentral. Lineage: Eukaryota; Metazoa; Chordata; Mammalia; Artiodactyla; Suidae.
AGAUCACCUGGCCCCGAACUUACGACAAUGGCCCCCUUAAACCUCCCACCUCUGGGCAGCAAGAGGCCAGGCAAGCUGUGUCGGGGUCCUGACUGGGAUGCUGUGAACCUGGGGAGCCCGAGCAGGUAAUACACCGGCGCACACGGAGGAGGCUUGGCCCCCAGUUCCCCCGGCUUUCCCCGGGUACCAGCCGUGGACCCGGCUGUAGUGCCACUCACCUCCGUCCGCUCCCGCCGAGGCUGUCGCGCCCUCCUUCGCCCCGCGCCGAGGACCCCCUAACUUCGCCCCCUUCUCCAAACAGCCAUCUUUCGCGGAGAAGAGAAUGGUGAGGCAGAAGCAGAGGGGGAAUUGAAAGUUGAUUCGGGGACCUCCGCUGCUCUGCCAGCAGGGACUUGCCAGCCGCGGUAGGCGCCUGAAGAGAAGACCGCGGCGAGGACGGCGGGCGCGGCGGGGCAGGCUGGGUGCGCGCUACGCUAUGUGCGGGACGCGCCGCCGCCGCCUCCGCGGCCGCCGCACGGGAGGGGGAACUCGGGAGGGCGGCCGAGUGGCUGCGAGCUGCGAGCUGAGCCCCUGGCGGCGCGCUGAGGAUUUGCUAAAAAUAGCUCCUCUUUGGGAGGGGGUGGAGGAUGGAGGUUUUAACGACAAAAUGGGAAACGCGAGGAAAUAUGGUGACUGCUAUUGGGAACAUAAAUUAGGUUUGUCAUGUUUUAAGGCUGAACAGAGAGCACCAUCCACUCUGAAACCAACUCUGAGAGAAGGCAUGUUGAAUUAGUAAGUUCAAGAAUUGAUGAUGUGACCCCCUUCAGUGUAGUAUUUUCAAUUUGUGGACUUUAUUUUUAACUUGUAUAAUUUAGUACAUACCUAUCACUAAUACCUAUGGAAUCCUUUAUAAAGCAUAGAACACUGAUUAGAUGUUUUUAAAAAUAUAAUCCUAAACAUACUUAUUUCAUGCCAACAUGUGAUCACUAGAAGUGGCUAUAUUAAUAAUGUAUGUACCCCGUGUCUAAUUUGACCUUCACAUGAAAUAAAGCUAGUGUCUCUAUAUGUGCA